This is a long non-coding RNA of Oncorhynchus tshawytscha (Chinook salmon), 1512 nucleotides long. The record is from Ensembl. Lineage: Eukaryota; Metazoa; Chordata; Actinopteri; Salmoniformes; Salmonidae.
GUGCAGUGAUGUUGACCGGGGUAGGAGUAGCCAGGUGGAAAGCAUGGCCAGCCAUAGAAAAAAGUGUGGUAUGGUGUAUAGUGUGGUAUGGUGUAUAGAAGGGUGUAUAGUGUGGUAUGGUGUAUAGAAGGGUGUAUAGUGUGGUAUGGUGUAUAGUGUGGUAUGGUGUAUAGUGUGGUAUGGUGUAUAGUGUAGUGUGGUAUGGUGUAUAGUGUGGUAUGGUGUAUAGUGUGGUAUGGUGUAUAGUGUGGUAUGGUGUAUAGUGUGGGAUGGUGUAUAGUGUGGGAUGGUGUAUAGUGUGGGAUGGUGUAUAGUGUGGGAUGGUGUAUAAUAUAGUUUGGUGUGGUGUAUAAUAUAGUUUGGUGUGUGGUAUGGUGUGGUGUAUAAUGUAGUGUGGUAUGGUGUGGUGUGUAGUAUGGUGUGGUGUAUAAUAUAGUUUGGUGUGGUGUAUAAUAUAGUUUGGUGUAUAAUGUAGUGUGGUGUGGUGUGUAGUAUGGUGUGGUGUAUAAUAUAGUUUGGUGUGGUGUAUAAUAUAGUUUGGUGUAUAAUGUAGUGUGGUGUGGUGUGGUGUGUAGUAUGGUGUGGUGUAUAAUAUAGUUUGGUGUGGUGUAUAAUAUAGUGUGGUAUGGUUUGGUGUGUAGUAUGGUGUGGUGUAUAAUAUAGUGUGGUAUGGUGUGGUGUGUAGUAUGGUGUGGUGUAUAAUAUAGUUUGGUGUAUAAUGUAGUGUGGUGUGGUGUAUAAUAUAGUGUGGUAUGGUGUGGUGUAUAAUAUAGUGUGGUGUAUAAUGUAGUGUGGUGUGGUGUAUAAUAUAUUGUGGUAUGGUGUGGUGUAUAAUAUAGUGUGGUGUAUAAUGUAGUGUGGUGUGGUGUAUAAUAUAGUUUGGUGUGGUGUAUAAUAUAGUUUGGUGUGGUGUAUAAUAUAGUAUGGUGGGGUGUAUAAUGUAGUGUGGUGUGGUGUAUAAUAUAGUUUGGUGUGGUGUAUAAUAUAGUAUGGUGGGGUGUAUAAUGCAGUGUGGUGUAUAAUAUAGUGUGGUGUAUAAUAUAGUGUGGUAUGGUGUAUAAUAUAGUGUGGUGUGGUGUAUAAUAUAGUUUGGUGUGGUGUAUAAUAUAGUUUGGUGUAUAAUGUAGUGUGGUGUAGUGUGGUGUAUAAUGUAGUGUGGUGUGGUGUAUAAUGUAGUGUGGUGUGGUGUGGUGUAUAAUGUAGUGUGGUGUAUAAUGUAGUGUGGUGUAUAAUGUAGUGUGGUGUAUAAUGUAGUGUGGUGUAUAAUGUAGUGUGGUGUGGUGUAUAAUAUAGUGUGGCGUGGUGUAUAAUAUAGUGUGGUGUGGUGUAUAAUAUAGUGUGGUGUGGUGUAUAAUAUAGUUUGUAUAAUGUAGUGUGGUGUGGUGUAUAAUAUAGUUUGGUGUGGUGUAUAAUAUAGUUUGGUGUAUAAUGUAGUGUGGUGUGGUGUGGUGUAUAAUGUAGUGUGGUGUAUAAUGUGGUGUGGUGUAUAAUGUAGUGUGGUGUAUAAUAUAG